This 728-nucleotide long non-coding RNA is filed under the name Homo sapiens (human). RNAcentral describes it as "long independently transcribed non-coding RNA 1635 (LINC01635)". Lineage: Eukaryota; Metazoa; Chordata; Mammalia; Primates; Hominidae. The record is from RNAcentral.
GGGGUAGGCACUGUUAUUUCCAUUCACAGAUAAGCAAAGUGAGGCUCGGAGGGCGGGGACUUGCCCAAAGCCACAAGGAUGAAAGGACUUUUCCAGUUGCUACCAGACUACGCACUGUCGCCUGAUGGUUAAGAACUGAAGCUUUAGCCGUGCGCGGUGGCUCACGCCUGUAAUCCCAGCACUUUAGGAGGCAGAGGCGUGUGGAUCACCUGAGGUCACGAGUUCGAGACCAGCUUGACCAACAAGCUGGCAUAUCCGAAUGGGCUGAGCUACCGGAUUAAGAGGGACACCCCAAAGCCCCCAUUGCUGGGUUAUUGCUCCAGAGCCAAUGUUCUUGGGGAAAGGAAGAUAUGCCCUUUGUCAACAUUGCCACUGCUGGUCUGUAAACUCCUAGACGGCCAGCUGGUGGUUCACAAACCAGGACUCCUUGCUCUGGCCCUACCCCUACCUACCAGAAUGACCGUGAACCCUUCCCCACUCACUCCUACAACCAGGUUUCCAUCUCCUCUCUCAGCUUAGGUUUCCCUAACUGUAAAAUAAAAGGGUUGGACUAGGUUAAGGACUUCCUGCUAUUUCUCUCUCCCACACUCUAAGGUUCCUUAGGAAUGCUUCAGAAAACAGCAGGGGUUGGGGCAAGGAUGCCGCUUGAGUCCCAGAGCAACUCCAAUUUCAUAGGCACAUAAAUUUAUGUGAAAGUAAAAAAAAAAAAAAAAAAAAAAAAAAAAAAA